Long non-coding RNA from Vidua macroura (Pin-tailed whydah), 607 nucleotides. RefSeq lists it as uncharacterized. The record is from RefSeq and is a predicted model, not a curated record. The transcript has 3 exons. Lineage: Eukaryota; Metazoa; Chordata; Aves; Passeriformes; Viduidae.
GUGACAUGGAGCCCUGGUGACGUGGAGCCCUGGUGACGUGGAGCCCUGGUGACGUGGAGCACUGGUGACAUGGAGCCCUGGUGACAUGGAGCCCUGGUGACGUGGAGCACUGGUGACGUGGAGCACUGGUGACAUGGAGCCCUGGUGACGUGGAGCACUGGUGACGUGGAGCCCUGGUGACGUGGAGCACUGGUGACAUGGAGCACUGGUGACAUGGAGCCCUGGUGCUGUGGCUGCAGCCACUGCCUCACGCCCAGCUCAGGGAAAGGAGUCCUCCAGCCCCCCCAGGACCUGAGAGCCAGCGAGGUCCUGAGGGAGCAGCCACAAGGCACCAAGGACAGCAGCAAGGGCCCUUCUUCAACUCCCCUCCCACACCUCUGAGCACCCCUUACCGCCAGCAGUUCAACAGCUGCAAGGGCUAUUCCUACAGGGAGUUUUGUUUGGUUGGGUUUUUGUUUGCAGGAGCUUCCCACUGUUUCAUUCCAACCUAAAGGCAACAUUUUGGGCAGCAGAAACUUUAUUUUGUAGUGGGCACAGAAAUUACUUCUGAUAUUGAUUGCACCCCCUGAGGUUCAGCUGACAGUUGAGGACACACAAAGGAUACACA